Molecule: ribosomal RNA, 485 nt
Filed under: uncultured bacterium
Lineage: Bacteria
Description: partial 16S ribosomal RNA
Rfam family: Bacterial small subunit ribosomal RNA
Source: RNAcentral
AUUGAAUGCUGGCGGCAUGCCUUACACAUGCAAGUCGAACGGCAGCACGGGUGCUUGCACCUGGUGGCGAGUGGCGAACGGGUGAGUAAUACAUCGGAACAUGUCCUGUAGUGGGGGAUAGCCCGGCGAAAGCCGGAUUAAUACCGCAUACGAUCUACGGAUGAAAGCGGGGGACCUUCGGGCCUCGCGCUAUAGGGUUGGCCGAUGGCUGAUUAGCUAGUUGGUGGGGUAAAGGCCUACCAAGGCGACGAUCAGUAGCUGGUCUGAGAGGACGACCAGCCACACUGGGACUGAGACACGGCCCAGACUCCGACGGGAGGCAGCAGUGGGGAAUUUUGGACAAUGGGCGAAAGCCUGAUCCAGCAAUGCCGCGUGUGUGAAGAAGGCCUUCGGGUUGUAAAGCACUUUUGUCCGGAAAGAAAUCCUUGGCCCUAAUACGGUCGGGGGAUGACGGUACCGGAAGAAUAAGCACCGGCUAACUACGU